AUGGAGUCAGCUGGCCCCAGCGCCAAGAAUAUGAGGUUCCCCCUAGUGGCGACGGUGGUUGUAGAUCUCGCACCUGGCAGUGUGGGGAGAAGCGGCAAGCCCACCCCACCUGGAUCUGUGGAACCUGUAGAAUCUCUGAUGGACCGCAUCAGUGAUCUCCCGGACAACAUCCUUGGGGAGAUCAUCUCGCUUCUCCCCACCAAGGAUUGCUACCGCACCCAAGUCCUCUCAACUCGGUGGCGCCCUCUAUGGCGCACCGCACCCCUCAAUAUCGAUCGUCCUUAG
RNAcentral lists this ribosomal RNA (285 nucleotides) under Triticum aestivum (bread wheat). RNAcentral describes it as "partial small subunit ribosomal RNA". Lineage: Eukaryota; Viridiplantae; Streptophyta; Magnoliopsida; Poales; Poaceae. The record is from RNAcentral.